RNAcentral lists this ribosomal RNA (444 nucleotides) under uncultured Anaerolineaceae bacterium. RNAcentral describes it as "bacterial SSU rRNA". It matches the Rfam family "Bacterial small subunit ribosomal RNA", at positions 927 to 1382 of the family's 1533-position model. The record is from RNAcentral. Lineage: Bacteria; Bacillati; Chloroflexota; Anaerolineae; Anaerolineales; Anaerolineaceae.
AAGCAGCGGAGCGUGUGGUUUAAUUUCGAUGCUACACGAAGAACCUUACCAGGGUUUGACAUGCAAGUGGUAGGAAACUGAAAAGGGACGACCCUUCGGGGAGCUUGCACAGGUGCUGCAUGGCUGUCGUCAGCUCGUGUCGUGAGAUGUUCGGUUAAGUCCGCUAACGAGCGCAACCCUCACUGUGUGUUAUAUGUGUCACACGGGACUGCCGGUUUUAAGCCGGAGGAAGGUGGGGAUGACGUCAAGUCAGCAUGGCCUUUAUAUCCUGGGCUACACACACGCUACAAUGGUCGGUACAAUAGGUUGCCAAGCCGCGAGGCGGAGCCAAGUCCAAAAAAGCCGGCCUCAGUUCAGAUUGUAGGCUGCAACUCGCCUGCAUGAAGAUGGAGUUGCUAGUAACCGCAGGUCAGCAAUACUGCGGUGAAUACGUUCCCGGGUCUU